GGGGGUGUUUCGGUUUCGACUGGCGGAAGAUCAGGCCAGUGGCUGCAAGCGGAGCGCCAACUCCCUAAACUAGCAAAAAUUUUAACUGCCAAAAAAGAAGACGAAGUCUUUUUCGAAGCAGAAUACGCUCUCGCUGCGUAACAGCACGAUUGUGUACAGGUCCGACUGCUGCCGCUCUUAAGCAACGGUAACCUGUAAAAGUAGGAGCUUACUCCCAUCAGUGCCUACGGGUUGGGGGGAAAAUUAAGUAGGAUACGAAGGAAGGACGUUUUGCUGGUGUACCUGCCUACCUUCGGAAACAAAGAACACCAACUAAGCUUGUAGACGUCAUUGGGUGGCACGUUAGGACGGGGGUUCGAAUCCCCCCACCUCCAAAA
This 377-nucleotide transfer-messenger RNA is filed under the name Sphaerochaeta sp. It matches the Rfam family "transfer-messenger RNA". Rfam says of the family: Bacterial tmRNA, also known as 10Sa RNA or SsrA, is named for its dual tRNA and mRNA-like properties. Its role is to liberate the mRNA from a stalled ribosome. The record is from RNAcentral. Lineage: Bacteria; Pseudomonadati; Spirochaetota; Spirochaetia; Spirochaetales; Sphaerochaetaceae. RNAcentral also lists the same sequence under 1 other name.